Acanthosepion pharaonis is the source of this 98-nucleotide non-coding RNA. The record is from the annotation of a GenBank genome assembly. Lineage: Eukaryota; Metazoa; Mollusca; Cephalopoda; Sepiida; Sepiidae.
CGUUGAAACACCUGUUCCCGUACGAUCACUGAAGUUAAGCAAUUUCGAGCCUGGUCAGUACCUACGUGGAUGACACAUUGGGAAUGCCAAAUGCUGGA